UACAGAGGUGGCAAGCGUUGUUCGGAAUUACUGGGCGUAAAGGGCGCGUAGGCGGUCUUUUAAGUCUCGUGUGAAAUCCCUCGGCUCAACUGAGGAACUGCACGGGAUACUGGAUGACUUGAGUUCGGGAGAGGGAAGCGGAAUUCCGGGUGUAGCGGUAAAAUGCGUAGAUAUCAGGAGGAACACCGGUGGCGAAGGCGGCUCUCUGGACGGUGACUGACGCUGAGACGCGAAAGCGUGGGGAGCAAACAGG
Molecule: ribosomal RNA, 253 nt
Filed under: uncultured bacterium
Lineage: Bacteria
Description: partial 16S ribosomal RNA
Rfam family: Bacterial small subunit ribosomal RNA
Source: RNAcentral